CCUACGGGAGGCAGCAGUGAGGAAUAUUGGUCAAUGGUCGGGAGACUGAACCAGCCAAGUCGCGUGAGGGAGGAAGGUACAUAGUAUCGUAAACUUCUUUUGUCAGGGAACAAAGACUGGGACGCGUCCCCGGAUGAGUGUACCUGAAGAAAAAGCAUCGGCUAACUCCGUGCCAGCAGCCGCGGUAAUACGGAGGAUGCGAGCGUUAUCCGGAUUUAUUGGGUUUAAAGGGUGCGCAGGCGGGAUGUCAAGUCAGCGGUAAAAGCGCGGGGCUCAACCCCGGCCGGCCGUUGAAACUGGUUGUCUAGAGUUGGAGAGAAGUAUGCGGAAUGCGUGGUGUAGCGGUGAAAUGCAUAGAUAUCACGAAGAACUCCGAUUGCGAAGGCAGCAUGCCGGCUCCACACUGACGCUGAGGCACGAAAGCGUGGGGAUCGAACAGGAUUAGAUACCCUUGUAGUC
RNAcentral lists this ribosomal RNA (459 nucleotides) under uncultured bacterium. Its description in RNAcentral is "partial 16S ribosomal RNA". It matches the Rfam family "Bacterial small subunit ribosomal RNA", at positions 338 to 795 of the family's 1533-position model. The record is from RNAcentral.